UACGUAGGUGGCGAGCGUUGUCCGGAUUUACUGGGCGUAAAGGGAGCGUAGGCGGGCUUUUAAGUGAGAUGUGAAAUACUCGGGCUCAACUUGAGUGCUGCAUUUCAAACUGGAAGUCUAGAGUGCAGGAGAGGAGAAUGGAAUUCCUAGUGUAGCGGUGAAAUGCGUAGAGAUUAGGAAGAACACCAGUGGCGAAGGCGAUUCUCUGGACUGUAACUGACGCUGAGGCUCGAAAGCGUGGGGAGCAAACAGG
Molecule: ribosomal RNA, 253 nt
Filed under: uncultured bacterium
Lineage: Bacteria
Description: partial 16S ribosomal RNA
Rfam family: Bacterial small subunit ribosomal RNA
Source: RNAcentral